CUAGUAAUGGCAGGUCAGCAUACUGCCGUGAAUACGUUCCCGGGCCUUGUACACACCGCCCGUCACACCAUGAGAGUUGGGGAUACCCGAAGCCUGUGAGCUAACUAUUUAUAGGAGCAGCAGUCGAAGGUAGAAUCAAUGAUUGGGGUGAAGUCGUAACAAGGUACC
RNAcentral lists this ribosomal RNA (168 nucleotides) under uncultured bacterium. RNAcentral describes it as "partial 16S ribosomal RNA". It matches the Rfam family "Bacterial small subunit ribosomal RNA", at positions 1335 to 1500 of the family's 1533-position model. The record is from RNAcentral.